UGCCAGCCGCCGCGGUAAUACGGAGGGUGCAAGCGUUAAUCGGAAUUACUGGGCGUAAAGCGUACGUAGGUGGUUUGGUAAGUCGGAUGUGAAAUCCCCGGGCUCAACCUGGGAAUUGCAUUCGAAACUGCCUCACUAGAGUCUAGCAGAGGGAUGGGGAAUUCCGGGUGUAGCGGUGAAAUGCGUAGAGAUCCGGAGGAACAUCAGUGGCGAAGGCGGCUUUCUGGCUCAAUACUGACACUGAGGAGCGAAAGCGUGGGUAGCGAACAGGAUUAGAUA
This 279-nucleotide ribosomal RNA is filed under the name uncultured bacterium. Its description in RNAcentral is "partial 16S ribosomal RNA". It matches the Rfam family "Bacterial small subunit ribosomal RNA", at positions 506 to 784 of the family's 1533-position model. The record is from RNAcentral.